This 425-nucleotide ribosomal RNA is filed under the name uncultured bacterium. RNAcentral describes it as "bacterial SSU rRNA". It matches the Rfam family "Bacterial small subunit ribosomal RNA", at positions 354 to 796 of the family's 1533-position model. The record is from RNAcentral.
GUGGGGAAUAUUGGACAAUGGGCGAAAGCCUGAUCCAGCCAUGCCGCGUGUGUGAAGAAGGUCUUCGGAUUGUAAAGCACUUUCGACGGGGACGAUGAUGACGGUACCCGUAGAAGAAGCCCCGGCUAACUUCGUGCCAGCAGCCGCGGUAAUACGAAGGGGGCUAGCGUUGCUCGGAAUUACUGGGCGUAAAGGGCGCGUAGGCGGCUCUGUGAGUCAGGCGUGAAAUGCCUGGGCUUAACCUGGGGACUGCGCUUGAUACUGCAGGGCUUGAGGCCGAGAGAGGGUGGUGGAAUUCCCAGUGUAGAGGUGAAAUUCGUAGAUAUUGGGAAGAACACCGGUGGCGAAGGCGACCACCUGGCUCGGUACUGACGCUGAGGCGCGACAGCGUGGGGAGCAAACAGGAUUAGAUACCCCGGUAGUCC